RNAcentral lists this ribosomal RNA (375 nucleotides) under uncultured organism. Its description in RNAcentral is "partial 16S ribosomal RNA". It matches the Rfam family "Bacterial small subunit ribosomal RNA", at positions 527 to 896 of the family's 1533-position model. The record is from RNAcentral.
GUAGGUGGCAAGCGUUGUCCGGAAUUAUUGGGCGUAAAGCGCGCGCAGGCGGUUCUUUAAGUCUGAUGUGAAAGCCCACGGCUCAACCGUGGAGGGUCAUUGGAAACUGGAGAACUUGAGUACAGAAGAGGAAAGCGGAAUUCCACGUGUAGCGGUGAAAUGCGUAGAGAUGUGGAGGAACACCAGUGGCGAAGGCGGCUUUUCUGGUCUGUAACUGACGCUUGAGGCGCGAAAGCGUGGGGAGCAAACAGGGAUUAGAUACCCUGGUAGUCCACGCCGUAAACGAUGAGUGCUAAGUGUUAGGGGGUUUCCGCCCCCUUAGUGCUGCAGCUAACGCAUUAAGCACUCCGCCUGGGGAGUACGGCCGCAAGGCUG